CUUCCUUGGUGGAGGCCGACUCUUCAUCCACUAGUGCCAACCUCUCCAUGGUGGCCCGAUGCCUUCCACACUCUGCUUUAAGCUCCUCAAUGCAUCUGUCUCUCUCUCUCUCCGGAGCCAACUGAUGGAAUUUUCUUUCUUUUAUUCCAAAAUUUGAGAGAUGCGAUACUCUGAUGAGUCGACCCAAGUUUGGCUUUGGAGGAUUGUAGUUCGGCCAUCACAC
This 223-nucleotide long non-coding RNA is filed under the name Elaeis guineensis (African oil palm). Its description in RNAcentral is "long non-coding RNA (EGUI_LNC065258)". The record is from RNAcentral. Lineage: Eukaryota; Viridiplantae; Streptophyta; Magnoliopsida; Arecales; Arecaceae.